UCUGGAUUCAGUGAACAUUCUCUUUAUGCUUCUGUCACCGGUGUGAAUCCAAUUUAAUCUGAUAGUAGCCAAAACUCUUAUUAACCAACCAAGAACAGCUGUUAGUUUGCCAGAUUGGGGUGUGGCCCAUUAAAAUGGCCACAAUGUCUUACCAGGAACACAAAUCCCUGUUACUGGUGGUAGACCUAGCUGUAAAACACUAUUCUGUCAGGAAAUUAUGGUAUCCUAAUGAUGAUUUCCAGGAGAUUAAGCUUCCUUUCUGUCUGCUGUUAGACUGGGGGAAAGCAGGAACUGCCAUCUUCUCUGGAGAACCAGAGGCUGUGCACCUGUAACACCUGUGUAUUUCAUGCAUGCUAGCUUGCCUUUGCAGACAGUCACUAUCACCGGCAAUCCAAAAGAACCUGAUUAUCUGUUGCUGUAAUAAACCAUACUUGAUUGCAUUGUGAUAGCUCUCA
This 455-nucleotide long non-coding RNA is filed under the name Anas platyrhynchos platyrhynchos (common mallard). Its description in RNAcentral is "lncRNA (ENSAPLG00000025854.1)". Lineage: Eukaryota; Metazoa; Chordata; Aves; Anseriformes; Anatidae. The record is from RNAcentral.